AGCGUAGGCGGACAUUUAAGUCAGGGGUGAAAUCCCAGAGCUCAACUCUGGAACUGCCUUUGAUACUGGGUAUCUUGAGUAUGGAAGAGGUAAGUGGAAUUCCGAGUGUAGAGGUGAAAUUCGUAGAUAUUCGGAGGAACACCAGUGGCGAAGGCGGCUUACUGGUCCAUUGCUGACGCUGAGGUGCGAGAGCGUGGGGAGCAAACA
Molecule: ribosomal RNA, 207 nt
Filed under: uncultured bacterium
Lineage: Bacteria
Description: partial 16S ribosomal RNA
Rfam family: Bacterial small subunit ribosomal RNA
Source: RNAcentral